RNAcentral lists this ribosomal RNA (245 nucleotides) under uncultured Actinomycetales bacterium. RNAcentral's name for it is "partial 16S ribosomal RNA". It matches the Rfam family "Bacterial small subunit ribosomal RNA", at positions 796 to 1041 of the family's 1533-position model. The record is from RNAcentral. Lineage: Bacteria; Bacillati; Actinomycetota; Actinomycetes; Actinomycetales.
CACGCCGUAAACGGUGGGCACUAGGUGUGGGAAACUAUCUACGUUUUCCGCGCCGCAGCUAACGCAUUAAGUGCCCCGCCUGGGGAGUACGGCCGCAAGGCUAAAACUCAAAGGAAUUGACGGGGGCCCGCACAAGCGGCGGAGCAUGCGGCUUAAUUCGAUGCAACGCGAAGAACCUUACCUAGGCUUGACAUAUAGCGUUUACCGGCAGAGAUGUCGGGUCCUUCGGGGCGCUAUACAGGUGG